Molecule: ribosomal RNA, 503 nt
Filed under: uncultured bacterium
Lineage: Bacteria
Description: partial 16S ribosomal RNA
Rfam family: Bacterial small subunit ribosomal RNA
Source: RNAcentral
AUUGAACGCUGGCGGCAGGCUUAACACAUGCAAGUCGAGCGGGGUGAUGGUGCUUGCACUAUCACUUAGCGGCGGACGGGUGAGUAAUGCUUAGGAAUCUGCCUAUUAGUGGGGGACAACAUCUCGAAAGGGAUGCUAAUACCGCAUACGUCCUACGGGAGAAAGCAGGGGAUCACUUGUGACCUUGCGCUAAUAGAUGAGCCCAAGUCGGAUUAGCUAGUUGGUGGGGUAAAGGCCUACCAAGGCGACGAUCUGUAGCGGGUCUGAGAGGAUGAUCCGCAACACUGGGACUGAGACAGGGCCCAGACUCCUACGGGAGGCAGCAGUGGGGAAUAUUGGACAAGGGGGGGAACCCUGAUCCAGCCAUGCCGCGUGUGUGAAGAAGGCCUUAUGGUUGUAAAGCACUUUAAGCGAGGAGGAGGCUCUUUUGGUUAAUACCCAAGAUGAGUGGACGUUACUCGCAGAAUAAGCACCGGCUAACUCUGUGCCAGCAGCCGCCGUAA